GCAGACACAUUCCAGCCAUUCAGCAGCAGACCCUCCCUCCCAGACCCUCCCACCUCCUGGACAGCAUCCAUUUUGAAGCUGCAUUGUUAGUGAGCUGUCCAGGAGGUGGGAGGGUCUGGGAGGGAGGGUCUGCUGCUGAUUGGCUGGAAUGUGUCUG
Molecule: non-coding RNA, 157 nt
Organism: Pelobates cultripes (western spadefoot toad)
Lineage: Eukaryota; Metazoa; Chordata; Amphibia; Anura; Pelobatidae
Source: the annotation of a GenBank genome assembly